This 344-nucleotide unclassified non-coding RNA is filed under the name soil metagenome. RNAcentral's name for it is "partial contains 5.8S ribosomal RNA, internal transcribed spacer 2, and large subunit ribosomal RNA". The stretch from base 1 to 120 matches the Rfam family "5.8S ribosomal RNA", at positions 35 to 154 of the family's 154-position model. The record is from RNAcentral.
GAUGAAGAACGUAGCGAAAUGCGAUACGUAAUGUGAAUUGCAGAAUUCAGUGAAUCAUCGAGUCUUUGAACGCACAUUGCGCCCUCUGGUAUUCCGGAGGGCAUGCCUGUCCGAGCGUCAUUGCUGCCCUCAAGCACGGCUUGUGUGUUGGGCCCCGCCCCCCGAUCCCGGGGGGCGGGCCCGAAAGGCAGCGGCGGCACCGCGUCCGGUCCUCGAGCGUAUGGGGCUUUGUCACCCGCUCUGUAGGCCCGGCCGGCGCUUGCCGAUCAACCAAACUUUUUUCCAGGUUGACCUCGGAUCAGGUAGGGAUACCCGCUGAACUUAAGCAUAUCAAUAAGCGGAGA